RNAcentral lists this long non-coding RNA (540 nucleotides) under Lotus japonicus. RNAcentral's name for it is "long non-coding RNA (LJAP_LNC002059)". Lineage: Eukaryota; Viridiplantae; Streptophyta; Magnoliopsida; Fabales; Fabaceae. The record is from RNAcentral.
UCAGUUGUAGCUGCCUCUGCCUCAUUCUGUUCCUCAACCUUUUUGGUUUCAACCUCUACCUCUCUGGAGGAUACUUGGACAGCUUCAGGUGCUUCUGGUUCCUUCUUGUCAUCAUUUGCAGCAACAGCAAUCUGUUCCUCAACCUUGUCAUCCACUGCUUGUGUGUCAUUUUUAACAUUCUCUACCUUCACAAUUUCUGUUUCAGUUGUAGCUGCCUCUGCCUCACUCUGUUCCUCAACCUUUUUGGUUUCAACCUCUACAUCUCUGGAGGAUACUUGGACAGAUUCAGGUGCUUCUGGUUCCUUCUUGUCAUCAUUUGCAGCAACAUCAAUCUGUUCCUCAACCUUUUCCUCAAUAGCUUUAGCCUCCUGGUCAAUGGAAGCUUGUUCAGGGUUUUCUGUAAUGCCUGCUACUUCUUUCGAUACCGCUUCAAUCACAUCAGUAAGGCUUGAUUCUUUCUUGCCAUCUUCAGCAAUCUCUUCUGGAACUUCAGGUGAAGGUUCCACCACAUUUGCAGGAGCUGCUUGAGCUUCCUCACUU